UAGGGAAUCUUCGGCAAUGGGGGGAACCCUGACCGAGCAACGCCGCGUGAGUGAAGAAGGUUUUCGGAUCGUAAAGCUCUGUUGUUAAGGAAGAACGAGUGUGAGAAUGGAAAGUUCAUGCUGUGACGGUACUUAACCAGAAAGGGACGGCUAACUACGUGCCAGCAGCCGCGGUAAUACGUAGGUCCCGAGCGUUGUCCGGAUUUAUUGGGCGUAAAGCGAGCGCAGGCGGUUAGAUAAGUCUGAAGUUAAAGGCAGUGGCUCAACCAUUGUAGGCUUUGGAAACUGUUUAACUUGAGUGCAGAAGGGGGGAGUGGAAUUCCAUGUGUAGCGGUGAAAUGCGUAGAUAUAUGGAGGAACACCGGUGGCGAAAGCGGCUCUCUGGGCUGUAACUGACGCUGAGGCUCGAAAGCGUGGGGAGCGAACAGG
RNAcentral lists this ribosomal RNA (429 nucleotides) under Bacteroidota bacterium. RNAcentral describes it as "Bacteroidetes bacterium partial 16S ribosomal RNA". It matches the Rfam family "Bacterial small subunit ribosomal RNA", at positions 355 to 776 of the family's 1533-position model. The record is from RNAcentral. Lineage: Bacteria; Pseudomonadati; Bacteroidota.